Erpetoichthys calabaricus (reedfish) is the source of this 887-nucleotide long non-coding RNA. RefSeq lists it as uncharacterized. NCBI's taxonomy places the organism in Eukaryota, Metazoa, Chordata, Cladistia, Polypteriformes, Polypteridae. The record is from RefSeq and is a predicted model, not a curated record. The transcript has 2 exons.
AUACUUAGUUUUCUGGUUUAGUUCCUGCUGCCAUCCACAUUCCACAUCUGAUCAAGUGAACCUGGUCUGUACACUUUCAGGACUACAAUCCCUGAAUAUGUAGAACUUUCCACUCUUUUUAUCUCCCAGCCCCUAAGUAAAAGUGCCAACUUGCUCAGUUUCUAUCCAUAACCUGUGAGCAAACAGAUAUUUUUGUCAAGCUUUUCCUCAUUUCAAGAAAUAGGCCAGGAUCUGCAGAGAACACACUUGAUUACAUAUCAGCACACUCCAAUACUUCACUACUUUACUGUAUAGUAAAAUAAGUAAACAAUUUAACUUGUAUUCUGUUAUAAGAAAAGUACAACCUUAUUGAGCAUUCCCAACAAAAUAUUAUUGUAUUCAUUGCAAAAAUAACAAAUGUUUUAUCAGAUGCUACUAAGACUAUGACUCUGCCCAAGGGAGACUCCAAGGAGUUGCCACAUGCUAGACUACAAAGAACCAAUGAGAUCAAGUAGAUGAAGUGUGUGUAUAGACACUGGCUGGGUCAUCGAGUGCCAUAAUUCUCAGGGACUUCUGAAUGUUUCCUCAGAGAACAAGGAAGCAGCCUGUUUGACACCUUGAGGGAUGCUGAAAGUGGGCAUCGUGUCGUUCUUAACAUGAAUUGUCCACUCAGGAUUAGCUAGGGCUAUUGUUCCAGGAGAGUUACUUGCUCUUCAUCCUUUGUGUUUAUCAUUCAUAUGAUUAUGUAUACUUCUUUGUUUUGAAUGCUCUGCUACUAAUAAGCCAUCUAAAAUAAUCCUGAUUUAUUGUUAGUGAGGAAUAGCUGAAGACAAAACCCUAACAACUGCCCUCUGAAACAGAUUGGCUCUGUAUUGCAAUUAAUUCAAUAAAACUGUAUUGACCAAUCA